Molecule: long non-coding RNA, 1233 nt
Organism: Lolium rigidum
Lineage: Eukaryota; Viridiplantae; Streptophyta; Magnoliopsida; Poales; Poaceae
Exons: 3
Source: RefSeq, a predicted model, not a curated record
AAAUUAUUUUUUGUUUUUGUAUGUAAGGUUUCGCAUUGGAAAUGCACCACCAGCAAAAGUGACUGCGCCAGGACAUCUUUCUGCAAUAGAAAUCUCUAUAAAAGAGUUUGCAGAGACACCAAAAGAAAUUGUUAUUAAUCCAUAGAUUGGCACAGUCUUUGAUUCUAUAAAGGAAGCAUAUGAUUUCUAUAACUUGUAUUCUUGGGAAGUGGGGUUUGGAAUUCGCUAUGGUAAAAGCAGAUUGAAUAUUGAGCGGGAGAAGUGCAUGCAGGAAAUGAUAUGUGGCUGUGCGGGCAAACCAGUUAAGACGACCAGCCGCUCCUUUAGAUGUGAGUGCCCUGCUAUGUUAAGGAUUUUGCGGAGCAAUGACAAUGGAUGGUAUGCUGCUGAACAUAGAGUUGAUCAUAACCAUGUAUUGUCGAAGACAUGUGGUGAAAAAUUGCAUGGCAGUCCCAUCGUCACAUGGAUAAAUACACAAAGGAUCUUGUUAAACAGCUACGAGAUAAUAAUGUCAAUGUUAGUAAAGUGUAUAGUAUAGUGAGCAGUUUCUUUGGAAGUGUUGAUAGAGUGCCUUUCACUAAAAGGUCCCUGAAGACAUUGUGUGGCAAGCUUAGCAGGGAGCAGUCCGAUGAUGACAUCAAGAAAACAGUGGAGGUUUUCAAAGAAAUACAAGCUAAUGUUCCAGGAUUUACAUAUGCAGUUCAGGUUGAUACUGACAGCAGGGUGAAAUCACUCAUGUGGACAAAUGGAAGAAGUAUAGAGCAAUAUCAGUACUUUGGAGAUGCACUGACUUUUGAUACAACUUACAGAACAAAUUUGUAUGACAUGCCAUUUGGUAUUUUUGUUGGUGUGAACAACCACUUCCAGAGCAUAAUAAUACUAGGUGGGUGUUUUUAUGAGGGAUGAGACAGCAGAUAGCUUCAAGUGGGUGUUUGGAGAAUUUGUUAGGAUGAUGGGUGGAAAACCACCUAAGACAAUACUAACAGAUCAAGCACGUGCAAUGGAAAUUGCGCUAGCUGAAGUGCUGCCAGGUACAACUCAUCGGUGGUGUAAGUGGCAUGUCCUAAAAAAAGCCAAGGAAGGACUUGGUCGUUUGUAUGGUAAAAAGAAUGAUUUCAGGGACAGAGAUUUGGUGCACAUGAGCACUAGUGAUCUCACUUCGAAAAAUAAAUUAAAAAUCAUAUUUCUAAGCUUCGAAAAAUCUGAAAAUAAAUCAUGAUAUAGCCGGUAUUG